This 253-nucleotide ribosomal RNA is filed under the name uncultured bacterium. Its description in RNAcentral is "partial 16S ribosomal RNA". It matches the Rfam family "Bacterial small subunit ribosomal RNA", at positions 524 to 776 of the family's 1533-position model. The record is from RNAcentral.
GACAGAGGGUGCAAACGUUGUUCGGAAUUACUGGGCGUAAAGCGCGUGUAGGCGGCUUUGCAAGUCGGGUGUGAAAGCCCUCGGCUCAACCGAGGAAGUGCGCCCGAAACUGCAGAGCUUGAGUGCCGGAGAGGAUGGCGGAAUUCCCCAAGUAGAGGUGAAAUUCGUAGAUAUGGGGAGGAACACCGGUGGCGAAGGCGGCCAUCUGGACGGUAACUGACGCUGAGACGCGAAAGCGUGGGGAGCAAACAGG